Molecule: ribosomal RNA, 682 nt
Filed under: uncultured bacterium
Lineage: Bacteria
Description: bacterial SSU rRNA
Rfam family: Bacterial small subunit ribosomal RNA
Source: RNAcentral
UGCCUUGCACUGGUUAGUGGCGAACGGGUGAGUAACGCGUGGGUAAUCUACCCGGUAGUGGGGGAUAACCCUCCGAAAGGAGGGCUAAUACCGCAUAAUAUCUUCCCUUCAUAAGAAGGAAAGAUUAAAGAUGGCCUCUAUCUUAUGCUAUCACUUCAGGAUGAGCCCGCGUCCUAUUAGUUAGUUGGUAGGGCAAUGGCCUACCAAGACAGCAAUGGGUAGCCGGUCUGAGAGGAUGUACGGCCACACUGGGACUGAGAUACGGCCCAGACUCCUACGGGAGGCAGCAGUGGGGAAUAUUGCGCAAUGGGGGAAACCCUGACGCAGCGACGCCGCGUGGACGAUGAAGGCCUUCGGGUUGUAAAGUCCUAUUCUGGGGGAAGAAACCUUAAGGGUCCAAUAAGCCCUUAAGCUGACGGUACCCCAAGAGAAAGCUCCGGCUAAUUAUGUGCCAGCAGCCGCGGUAAUACAUAAGGAGCAAGCGUUGUCCGGAAUUAUUGGGCGUAAAGAGCUCGUAGGCGGUCUUAAAAGUCAGGUGUUAAAUUACCAGGCUCAACCUGGUAAAGUCAUCUGAAACUCUAAGACUUGAGGGUAGAAGAGGAAAGUGGAAUUCCCGGUGUAGCGGUGAAAUGCGUAGAUAUCGGGAGGAAUACCAGUGGCGAAAGCGGCUUUCUGGUCUAUC